Megalobrama amblycephala (Wuchang bream) is the source of this 1356-nucleotide long non-coding RNA. RefSeq lists it as uncharacterized. The record is from RefSeq and is a predicted model, not a curated record. The transcript has 3 exons. Lineage: Eukaryota; Metazoa; Chordata; Actinopteri; Cypriniformes; Xenocyprididae.
GACCUUCCGGCCCGCCAUAUCCAAAAGCUACAGAAAAAAGACGCACAUGGAUCACUGCAAUUCACAGAAACAGCUGGACUCCAGCAGAGAAACAUGGAUUUGGAGUUAUCGUUUUGUGUCAGAUUCUUGUAUUUUGAGAAUGGUGAGAGACGCAUGCAAGCAGAUGGUACGUAGAAUGGAGGCUGAGAGGAUGACUGGAGACAGAGGAAGGUGAACACACACACAUGGACGAUAGAGACAAUGAGACUGGGAAACAUGCUGGAGUAGAACUGGUAGGUAAAUCUAGAGGAUGUGGAGAUCGAUUACAUGAGUCCUUCAUAUGAACAAGAUCGGACUACUGGCAGAGGUGAGUGCAGUGUCUUAUAGUCCGUGGUGAUGAGGUGCUGAUGGUGAUCAGGUGCGUGUGAUCAGUACCAAGGUUAGGUAGCCUGCGGUGGUGGGCUGCUGGAAGAGGAUUUUGAUGAAGUUCCACUUCUGUAUUUACACACAGUCAAUAUGAUGCAGAGGAUGCAGGAAAGGACCAAGGCCAGGAUAUAACCUGUUACCUUAAUUAAAAAAAAAAAAAAAAAAACAUUGCAUAAGUCAAAUUCAAAACAAUAUUAAACAACUAUAAUAUGCUAUAAUAUGUUAUCACAGGUUAUAAGCAAAAUUGUUUUUGUCAAAAAUAGUGACGGAAAGGAAUCUUUCCUGCAAAUUCUGUUGGAGAAACUUGCUUCUUACCCAUUAACAGAAUGUAUAAAUAAAUCAGGUGGAAUUCACUUAGACUGAAAUGUGCUGUCCGAGUUGAUUUAGCAGCUAAAAAGUGACAAGACACCCAAUACUACUUUUAACUAGUGACUUGUGUUGAUUUCACUUGACAUAUUACAGAGUUUCUCUGUCUAAACUGCCUGAUAUUUUGGUUUGAAAUGUUGUUCACUGUAUAUAGAUUUACUCAAUGAAAAUGUUAUAAAAACAUCAUUAGGCCUUUCUGAUGGAUUAUAUCUAUAAUGGUAUUUAAAACAGGAUUAUACAAUAUGAAAUGAUAUUGUGUCAUUUAUCUGUAAAGUUCAUUUGUACAUAUUUUUAGGUUUCUCAUCUUUGUGAAAUGGUAAAUCAUUCAAAUUUCCCUAACAUAUAAUUAGUCAUUACUAAGUCCUUUGUUACAGAUUUCUUAUUUUUUCAGUUGAAAUAUUAUUAGAAUAGAAUUGAAAUAUUAAACUAUCUCUAUUCAAUUUAUUCUUUCUUGACAAAACUUGGAAUAGAUUGGGGUGAAAAUGCUUGGUACUUACCUUUGAUGCGUUGAUUAUCACUCUUGUGUAGGCAUAAUCUGAUAUUUAUCUGUAUAUGUGUUUUCAUAUUUUGAUAUAUUGUGUAGAU